UACGAAGGGGGCUAGCGUUGUUCGGAAUUACUGGGCGUAAAGCGUGCGCAGGCGGCUUCUCAAGUCAGGGGUGAAAGCCCAGAGCUCAACUCUGGAAUUGCCUUUGAGACUGAGUGGCUGGAGUACGGCAGAGGGAGGUGGAAUUCCACGUGUAGCAGUGAAAUGCGUAGAGAUGUGGAGGAACACCGAUGGCGAAGGCAGCCUCCUGGGCUAGUACUGACGCUCAUGCACGAAAGCGUGGGGAGCAAACAGG
This 253-nucleotide ribosomal RNA is filed under the name uncultured bacterium. RNAcentral describes it as "partial 16S ribosomal RNA". It matches the Rfam family "Bacterial small subunit ribosomal RNA", at positions 524 to 776 of the family's 1533-position model. The record is from RNAcentral.